This is a long non-coding RNA of Gasterosteus aculeatus (three-spined stickleback), 1134 nucleotides long. Lineage: Eukaryota; Metazoa; Chordata; Actinopteri; Perciformes; Gasterosteidae. The record is from Ensembl.
AUGGAAGUGGACAAAGUACAGAACAGGAUUGGAAGAAGGGUGCUAAAGAUAUUACAGAGUCAAUGGGGGGAGGAAGAACUCAGAGGAAGAAUUGAUCUAAAAAUGCAGAAUGAUAAGAUUGCUAAAGUUGAAAACCAGGCUGAUGAGGAUUCCCCAGAACAGGUAUCGCGGAGUGUGGAGGAGGUACCAUUGGGCCAGCAGCGAGAUGUAGAACUGGAGCAGGUGGAGAAAGCCUUUGAAAAGGAGGAAGGGAGUGAGGAUCUACCUGAUAACCCUGGAGGAGAGGUCACAUCAGACCAGAAUGAGUCCACAACAGAGCAAGCAGUUGGUUUGCAAGAACAUCCUUUACAGCUGCACAAAGAAGGAAGAACCAAUUGGGAAGAAACAUGGGGCAGAGAUGAACGCCUUGUAGAAGACGAGAAGGGAGGAGAAGCAGAAGAAGAAGCAAAAGAGUUAGAGAUGGAAGAGCCUGUGACUGUUUUAGAUGACGAGACUGAAGAGAUGGAGGCCAGUCCAUGGACGGAAGAUAAAGAUCAAAAGCCUGCGUCUCUAACACCUCCUUCUGGACACACUGUAGUAGAGACAAUGGAUCCAGAUCAUCAAGAAGAGCAGCUUGAACUUGCUCCAGAGAAAGAUGAGAAAAUUACCGAUGGAAAAGAAGAGCAACAAAAGAGUGACAAACAGAGACAGGAAAAGGUAAAGAAGGAUGAGAAGCAGAAAUAUGAAGAGUUAGAGGUAGAGAAAGAAGAUGGGAAACAAAGUGAUGAACAACAACAGAUAGAGAAGGACGAAAAACUAAAAGAUGAAAAAGAAGAGGUGGAGAGGGAUGAAAAACACAGGGAUGAAGAAGAACAUGGGGAAAAAGAGGAGAACCCAAACAGUGGCAACAGAGAAGUAGAAUUAGAUAUAAAUGGAAGAUUUAAAGGACCGGAACAAGCAAUGGAGAAUGGGAUCUUGUGUCAGGAGCCACAGCCUCUCAGGAUGGAAGAAUUAGGGACGGUAAGAGUGCUGCCGCCCAGAAGGAAGGAUAACGACUGGAGCAAAAAAGUGCAACCAGAGGAAGUGAGAGCCCCAGAAGUGAAACUCUGGAGGAAUGAACUGAGGCCUGUGAAAAAAAGAUGUCUGGGAAUCUGA